AGUCUAGCGGUUAGAAUGCUGGCCUUGUAAUCCAGGGGUCUCGGGUUCGAUUCCCGG
Molecule: transfer RNA, 57 nt
Filed under: Zootermopsis nevadensis
Lineage: Eukaryota; Metazoa; Arthropoda; Insecta; Blattodea; Termopsidae
Source: Rfam by way of RNAcentral